UAGGCGAUGGAUUGGCUCAGCCAUGUGCUCGUCGUGUCAGCGGGGCGCAAGCCGUCAUGGGAUGGGGGAUGUACACUACUACAAUGCACGUGAUUGAUGGUUGAACAUUCAUUCUCGUUGACAGUGUAUUAUUGAAAUAUUUGAUUGUAAUGAUGGUGUAUUAUACUAGGCCUUGCAUGCUCCCAACGUGUGGCAUAUUUCACAUUGAUACUACCAGUAUCAAUUACAAAAAAAUAGAUUGUGAGUAACAAUAGGCCUACAAACAAUGCUACAUGUCAUGAGGGUGGGAACGGGGAAGGGGGGGUAACUGUCUCGACGUCCCGUUAGGAAAAAAGGCUUAUCCCGUUUCCCAAAACGCAAUUUUAGCCGAAUCGUGACGCAAAACACGGCUUGUCUCGAAUCCCGCUAAAAUAAGGGUGUCUAUCCCGAAUCCCGACAGUUAUUUUCGGCCCAUCCCAGUGUCCCGAAAAUACCCGUUCUCCCCCUCAUACAUAGUAGACCAUAUUGUCACAUUGAUGUUUUCUUUCAUUACAGUUAGACUUCGAGAUCUACAUUUUCGACAAAGGCCUGGUGUAAUAUUAUUACGUACUUGAUGAAGGUUUAAUGACACGAAUGAGUACAAGUACAUUACAUUUUUCGACGAAGGCCUUCUGUAAUUUCAUACGCUUCUUACGCAACAUUCAGUAGAUUUAUUUACUGUAUUAUCAUUUCGACCAAGGCGAAUUCGACACUUCAAUUACACAAGGUUAGUAACUUUUGUUCACAAAAUCCAAAUGGAGGCAAAUACAGAACAAUCAAACUUAGUCAUUCCAGUCAGUUACUGAAGCACAGUGAAAACUGUCGGGAGCAGUGCAACUGAUGGCAUGUCAAACUUCCAGUGACUGUCCCUGUCCAUAUAUUUCAAGACAGUACAAAUCUUGUAUUCAUUUUGUUUAUGCAAUGUACGUUAUUAUGUAUCAUUUCAGCACAAUCAAACUUAGUCAUUCCAGUCAGUUACUGAAGCACAGCGAAAACUGUCUGAAUUCGUGCUGCUGAUGGCAUGUAAUUACUCUACUACCACUACCAGUGACAGUCAAUGUCCAAAUAUUUUCAAGUGUGCGAAAUUAGUACUCGUCUACUUCUUAGUGUUAUUUGAAUGCAAUGUAUGUUAUAAAAAUAUUUUUUCAACACUAUAUCAACAUUCUCAUUCCUGUCAGUUUCUGAAAAUCAGCUAAAGCAAUCGCUACCAAUGCAGCUGAUAACAGCAAUUCUUUUUGUUCCCAAUGCCCAUCCAUGACAAUAUAUUUCACGCAUGUGACAAUCAUGUAAUCAUCCUGUUUUUUGUGUUCUAUUCAUGCAAUAAAUAAAUUCAGUAUUUUCAAAUCAUUGGUGCUACAAAACUAUUCUCAUUAUAGAUUAUUUAUAUUUUAUAAAAUGCUGUCAUAUCAAAUUUUGUGUCCUAUAAAUCAUAAUGAAGUCGGCAUUUUAUAUACAAUUUUUGUACUCCUCCUAAAUAAACAUACAAAUCUUGUUUUAUGUAAACUUUGUAUAUGUGACCCGUCACAGCAAAACCAGGCGCAUGUCGCUCUGAGCUUGGCAGGUUGAGACGGACUGUUCUAAUCUUUCAUUAGCGACCCCAUUUCUUACCAGAGUGCCUCCUUCAUUCAUACAUCUUGUACUUUAACUCAAGAUACCCAUCUUUUUACUAUCAGAUCCAUAGAAUAGCAAAGAUCAGACGAUACCUGGACAAUACCACCUGUGCCAGAGUAAUAAAUGCGCUAAUAACAUCUCGCCUGGAUUUCCAAAACGGUCUUUUGCUCGGAUUACCGGGCUGUGAAAUCCAGCGCCUUCAAAAAGCACAAAAUGCUAGUGCUCGCCUCUUAACCAGGUCCAAAAAGAGAGAGCACAUAACCCCUAUUUUAAAAUCUCUUCAUUGGUUGCCGGUGACAUCACGUAUCGACUACAAAGUUCUUCUCACAACCCACAAGGUCAUCCAUCAUGAGGAGAGCCCACAGUAUAUGAAGGAACUUCUCAGUCUCCGUGCGCCCGGCCGCAGACUUCGGUCCUCGGAUGACCCUUGGCUCCUUGCCAUCCCACGUUCAAAUGGGGUCUUCGGGGAUCGAUCUCUGUGUGUCCGGGCCGCGGGGCUGUGGAACGCCCUUCCAAGCUGGUUACGUGAUGUCACUGUGCUAAACACUUUUAAGAGUAAACUCAAAACUCAUCUUUUUAUCCUAACAUAUUCAGAGUAGGCCAUACAUGUUUUAAAUAUUGAUAUUUUCCGGAUGUUUUUAAACUGUUUUUUAUCCUCAUGAAAUCACCACUUUUAAUGUACUCAUUUAAUAUUAUGUACAGUGCUUAGAAAAUGUAUGCACCAUUAUUUUAGCACUUUAAAUCAAAUAAAUUAUUAUUAUUAUUAUUAUUUGAAUAUUUUUAGUAUACCAAGUACUACAAUGUCAAUGUAUUGAAGUCAUGUUCUUGUAGUGUUAUUGGCUUUCUAUUAUCUUGUCAAAAUACCACUUGGUUCUCGCAAAAUCUCAAUAAAAACAAAUGCUAUUGCAUGUAUUGCAUAUUCUAACAGCUAUCCACUGUAUCGAUUUAUCCAUCAUCUGUACUAUUUGUCACAAAAAUGUUAUAUUAUGUAAAUCAUAUUUCAUUACAUAAUGCACACUGCCAAUUACUGCUGAACCAUUCAUAUGUCAUUUAAAUAAAUAAUUUUCAACUUUUUAAAACCGUCUUAUAGUACUGUUCUUGUCACUUAGCUGAACCAAUUGCUCUAUAGCAUGAAAUUUCCAGAAAUGCCCCAGGGACUGAAAAGUGCUGUUUUAACAGAGAGGUGUCCUAAACUGAGAAGUCGAGUUGAAUGGAAACAACCAAUUUGGAACCAAAAACUUCUGUCCUUAUUAAAGAGGUUGUCCUCAAUAGAAAGGUGUCCACAAAAAGUAGGUCCACUGUAUAUGAAAGUACAAACCCUGGUACAUGUAGUGACAUCAUCUACUCCUCGAUGUGGACACCUGCAAAUGCAGCGACAAUGUCACAUCAGUUAUUUAAUUCAUCGUCCUUUGUGCAGAUGGCACCACCCAUCAAACAUGUUGGUGACGAAUAGUGUCGCAGCAUUUCGUCACCGAGCUUUCACGAAAAUGCACUGUCAUU
This is a long non-coding RNA of Lineus longissimus, 3129 nucleotides long. RefSeq lists it as uncharacterized. The record is from RefSeq and is a predicted model, not a curated record. The transcript has 3 exons. Lineage: Eukaryota; Metazoa; Nemertea; Pilidiophora; Heteronemertea; Lineidae.